This 406-nucleotide ribosomal RNA is filed under the name uncultured bacterium. Its description in RNAcentral is "partial 16S ribosomal RNA". It matches the Rfam family "Bacterial small subunit ribosomal RNA", at positions 29 to 526 of the family's 1533-position model. The record is from RNAcentral.
AUUGAACGCUGGCGGCAGGCCUAACACAUGCAAGUCGAACGAGUGGCGGACGGGUGAGUAAUGUCUGGGAAACUGCCCGAGGGAGGGGGAUAACUACUGGAAACGGUAGCUAAUACCGCAUCCCAUCGGAUGUGCCCAGAUGGGAUUAGCUAGGAGGUGUGGUAACGGCUCACCUAGGCGACGAUCCCUAGCUGGUCUGAGAGGAUGCCCGGCAACCUGGGAAAGGAUACACGGUCCAGACGCCUACGGUAGGCAGCAGUGGGGAAUAUUGCACAAUGGGCGCAAGCCUGAUGCAGCCAGGACGCGUGUAUGAAGAAGGCCUUAGGGUUGUAAAGUACUUUCAGCGAGGAGGCGUUACUCGCAGAAGAAGCACCGGCUAACGCCGUGCCAGCAGCCGCGGUAAUAC